RNAcentral lists this long non-coding RNA (554 nucleotides) under Mytilus galloprovincialis (Mediterranean mussel). Lineage: Eukaryota; Metazoa; Mollusca; Bivalvia; Mytilida; Mytilidae. The record is from RNAcentral.
CUUUUUUAAUACUUUUUAUUCUGGAUUACAAAAAAUAUGACCAGAAAAACCUUAAAUGAUCGUCGAUUUAUCCAAAAGUUUUAAAGUUACACAUAGGAAGUAGUGCUUAUUAAGAAUCCUUGUGUAGUUCAUUAUGACUUGUGCUUUAAGCUAAGAUGUCAAAGAACAAUUGUAUGAAAUAUUUAAUCGCCGAAAAUCUCUUAAGACAAGUAGUUUAGAUUUUCCAAAUGACAAAAGUCGUAGGAAUAUUGUUUGUCAUCAAUACGUAGUACAACUACGUCAGUAGUCUAUUAUAUAAUAAGUUCAACUGUUCAUGCUGUUGGCGGCAAUUUCAAAUUAGAAAAAGAAAUUUUCGUAGCUUUUCAAUUUGGAGGCAGGUGUGCAAAUUAGCGGUGGUCCGAGGUCCGCGACCUUCCACUUUUGAAAGCGGAAUUUCGACUAGGAUAGUUGGUUUCUAGCUACACCCGACGUAGUCCCCUUCCACUUAAAGGAAAAUAAAAAAUUACUUUGCAAACCUUUUCACCAUGUUCACCAAAGUCUCCAAUUAAACGAGC